RNAcentral lists this ribosomal RNA (549 nucleotides) under uncultured bacterium. Its description in RNAcentral is "bacterial SSU rRNA". It matches the Rfam family "Bacterial small subunit ribosomal RNA", at positions 356 to 896 of the family's 1533-position model. The record is from RNAcentral.
AGGGAAUCUUCCGCAAUGGGCGAAAGCCUGACGGAGCAACGCCGCGUGAGUGAUGAAGGUCUUCGGAUCGUAAAACUCUGUUAUUAGGGAAGAACAUAUGUGUAAGUAACUGUGCACAUCUUGACGGUACCUAAUCAGAAAGCCACGGCUAACUACGUGCCAGCAGCCGCGGUAAUACGUAGGUGGCAAGCGUUAUCCGGAAUUAUUGGGCGUAAAGCGCGCGUAGGCGGUUUUUUAAGUCUGAUGUGAAAGCCCACGGCUCAACCGUGGAGGGUCAUUGGAAACUGGAAAACUUGAGUGCAGAAGAGGAAAGUGGAAUUCCAUGUGUAGCGGUGAAAUGCGCAGAGAUAUGGAGGAACACCAGUGGCGAAGGCGACUUUCUGGUCUGUAACUGACGCUGAUGUGCGAAAGCGUGGGGAUCAAACAGGAUUAGAUACCCUGGUAGUCCACGCCGUAAACGAUGAGUGCUAAGUGUUAGGGGGUUUCCGCCCCUUAGUGCUGCAGCUAACGCAUUAAGCACUCCGCCUGGGGAGUACGACCGCAAGGUUG